GAGGGUAUAGCUCAGUGGUAGAGCGCCUGCUUAGCAUGUAUGAGGUGCUGGGUUCAAUCCUCAGCUCCUCCA
Molecule: transfer RNA, 72 nt
Filed under: Camelus ferus (Wild Bactrian camel)
Lineage: Eukaryota; Metazoa; Chordata; Mammalia; Artiodactyla; Camelidae
Rfam family: tRNA
About the family: Transfer RNA (tRNA) molecules are approximately 80 nucleotides in length.
Source: Rfam by way of RNAcentral